UCUAACUUCUGGAGAGUUAAGAUGAAAACAGUUUUAAACCAAAUUUUUCAACAACGACCUUGAUUUUUGCCUUGCUUAGCAACAAGUUUCAUUUGCUAAGGUUCAGGUGUUUGAGCAGUAGAAAGUACAGGGAAAGAAGAAUAAAGAGGAUUGGAAAACAAAAGCAAAUGAUGAUGACAUAAUGCCUGUUCACAAAUGGCUUGGGCAACUAUGCUAAGAACAAUUGGGAUCUUCUGGCUGGAGAAUCCUUGGGUGCUCAUCCUUCAACUGCACUAGUCCAAGGUCUGUGCCCAGCACUGUGUCCCCCAAACCCUAGUGUCUGGCACAAUGAAAGAAAUCAAUAAAUAUUCGGGCUCACAGACACAC
Molecule: long non-coding RNA, 366 nt
Organism: Canis lupus familiaris (dog)
Lineage: Eukaryota; Metazoa; Chordata; Mammalia; Carnivora; Canidae
Exons: 3
Source: RefSeq, a predicted model, not a curated record